CCUACGGGCGGCAGCAGUGGGGAAUAUUGCGCAAUGGGGGGAACCCUGACGCAGCCAUGCCGCGUGAAUGAAGAAGGCCUUCGGGAUGUAAAGUUCUUUCGGUAUUGAGGAAGGGAUGUGUGCUAAUAGUACACAUCAUUGACGUUAAAUACAGAAGAAGCACCGGCUAACACCGUGCCAGCAGCCGCGGUAAUACGGAGGGUGCGAGCGUUAAUCGGAAUAACUGGGCGUAAAGGGCACGCAGGCGGUUAUUUAAGUGAGGUGUGAAAGCCCCGGGCUUAACCUGGGAAUUGCAUUUCAGACUGGGUAACUAGAGUACUUUAGGGAGGGGUAGAAUUCCACGUGUAGCGGUGAAAUGCGUAGAGAUGUGGAGGAAUACCGAAGGCGAAGGCAGCCCCUUGGGAAUGUACUGACGCUCAUGUGCGAAAGCGUGGGGAGCAAACAGGAUUAGAUACCCUUGUAGUC
This 465-nucleotide ribosomal RNA is filed under the name uncultured Haemophilus sp. RNAcentral's name for it is "bacterial SSU rRNA". It matches the Rfam family "Bacterial small subunit ribosomal RNA", at positions 338 to 795 of the family's 1533-position model. The record is from RNAcentral. Lineage: Bacteria; Pseudomonadati; Pseudomonadota; Gammaproteobacteria; Pasteurellales; Pasteurellaceae.